CCUUCGGGAACCGUGAGACAGGUGCUGCAUGGCUGUCGUCAGCUCGUGUUGUGAGAUGUUCGGGUUAAGUCCCGCAACGAGCCGCAACCCCUAUCCUUAGUUGCCAGCGGGUAAUGCCGGGAACUCUAGGGAGACUGCCGGUGAUAAACCGGAGGAAGGUGGGGACGACGUCAAGUCAUCAUGGCCCUUACGGGAUGGGCUACACACGUGCUACAAUGGCGCAUACAAAGGGCAGCAAACCUGGCGAGGGGUAAAGCGAAAUCUCAUAAAGUGCGUCGUAGUCCGGAUUGGAGUCUGCAACUCGACUCCAUGAAGUCGGAAUCGCUAGUAAUCGUGAAUCAGCAUGCCGCGGUGAAUACGUUCCCGGGCCUU
Molecule: ribosomal RNA, 372 nt
Filed under: uncultured Idiomarina sp.
Lineage: Bacteria; Pseudomonadati; Pseudomonadota; Gammaproteobacteria; Alteromonadales; Idiomarinaceae
Description: bacterial SSU rRNA
Rfam family: Bacterial small subunit ribosomal RNA
Source: RNAcentral